Molecule: long non-coding RNA, 227 nt
Filed under: Trifolium pratense (red clover)
Lineage: Eukaryota; Viridiplantae; Streptophyta; Magnoliopsida; Fabales; Fabaceae
Description: long non-coding RNA (TPRA_LNC010122)
Source: RNAcentral
UUGAGUUUUUCGGUAAAGCUGAAAAGAAGGAAGGAGGGGUUUGGUUUCUUCAAAGUUGCUACUAACCAAACAUUUGACCUUUGGUUGAUAUUAGUACUUGGAAUAUGUGAUUCAUUGAUUAAUUAAUUUGAAUUUAUUUAUUUAUUUAAAAAAUAAAAUCUGGACAAUUAAUUUCGAAAAUGACACUAAAGACCUUUAAAUUAGAGAUUUUAAAAUGUUUAUCGAGG